RNAcentral lists this ribosomal RNA (465 nucleotides) under Vreelandella stevensii. RNAcentral's name for it is "partial 16S ribosomal RNA". It matches the Rfam family "Bacterial small subunit ribosomal RNA", at positions 338 to 795 of the family's 1533-position model. Lineage: Bacteria; Pseudomonadati; Pseudomonadota; Gammaproteobacteria; Oceanospirillales; Halomonadaceae. The record is from RNAcentral.
CCUACGGGAGGCUGCAGUGGGGAAUAUUGGACAAUGGGGGGAACCCUGAUCCAGCCAUGCCGCGUGUGUGAAGAAGGCCCUCGGGUUGUAAAGCACUUUCAGUGAGGAAGAACGCCUGGUGGUUAAUACCCAUCAGGAAAGACAUCACUCACAGAAGAAGCACCGGCUAACUCCGUGCCAGCAGCCGCGGUAAUACGGAGGGUGCGAGCGUUAAUCGGAAUUACUGGGCGUAAAGCGCGCGUAGGUGGCUUGAUAAGCCGGUUGUGAAAGCCCCGGGCUCAACCUGGGAACGGCAUCCGGAACUGUCAAGCUAGAGUGCAGGAGAGGAAGGUAGAAUUCCCGGCGUAGCGGUGAAAUGCGUAGAGAUCGGGAGGAAUACCAGUGGCGAAGGCGGCCUUCUGGACUGACACUGACACUGAGGUGCGAAAGCGUGGGUAGCAAACAGGAUUAGAUACCCUGGUAGUC